UCUCCGUUGGUGAACCAGCGGAGGGAUCAUUACUGAGUACUACACUCUCUACCCUUUGUGAACUAUUAUACCUGUUGCUUCGGCGGCGCCCGCGAGGGUGCCCGCCGGUCUCAUCAGAAUCUCUGUUUUCGAACCCGACGAUACUUCUGAGUGUUCUUAGCGAACUGUCAAAACUUUUAACAACGGAUCUCUUGGCUCCAGCAUCGAUGAAGAACGCAGC
RNAcentral lists this unclassified non-coding RNA (220 nucleotides) under uncultured fungus. RNAcentral describes it as "sequence contains ITS1, 5.8S rRNA gene". The stretch from base 172 to 220 matches the Rfam family "5.8S ribosomal RNA", at positions 1 to 49 of the family's 154-position model. Lineage: Eukaryota; Fungi. The record is from RNAcentral.